UACGUAGGUGGCAAGCGUUGUCCGGAUUUACUGGGCGUAAAGAGCGCGCAGGCGGUCAGAUAAGUCGAAUGUGAAAGCCCCCGGCUCAACUGGGGAGGGUCAUUCGAUACUGUUCGACUCGAAGGCAGGAGAGGGAAGUGGAAUUCCCGGUGUAGUGGUGAAAUGCGUAGAUAUCGGGAGGAACACCAGUGGCGAAGGCGGGUUGCUGGGCCGACACUGACGCUGAUGCGCGAAAGCCAGGGGAGCGAACGGG
Molecule: ribosomal RNA, 253 nt
Filed under: uncultured bacterium
Lineage: Bacteria
Description: partial 16S ribosomal RNA
Rfam family: Bacterial small subunit ribosomal RNA
Source: RNAcentral